GACGAACGCUGGCGGUAUGCUUAACACAUGCAAGUCGAACGAGAAGUCUUUUAUUGAACCUUCGGGGGAUAUAAGAGACAGACAGUGGCGAACGGGUGAGUAACGCGUGGGCAACCUACCUAUCGGAGCGGGAUAGCCUCGAGAAAUCGGGAGUAAAACCGCAUAACACGGAUAUAUCGCAUGAUGAAUCCGUCAAAACUCCGGUGCCGAUAGAUGGGCCCGCGUCUGAUUAAGCUAGUUUGGUAAAGGUAAAGGGGCUUACCAAGGCAAACGAUCCAGUAAGCCCGGGUCUGAGAGGGGCGAAACGGGCCCACCACUGGAAACUGAGACCACGGUCCCAGACUCCUUACGGGAGGCCAGCCAGUGGGGA
RNAcentral lists this ribosomal RNA (370 nucleotides) under Pseudoramibacter alactolyticus. RNAcentral's name for it is "bacterial SSU rRNA". It matches the Rfam family "Bacterial small subunit ribosomal RNA", at positions 28 to 360 of the family's 1533-position model. Lineage: Bacteria; Bacillati; Bacillota; Clostridia; Eubacteriales; Eubacteriaceae. The record is from RNAcentral.